UGGGGAAUAUUGCACAAUGGGCGCAAGCCUGAUGCAGCCAUGCCGCGUGUAUGAAGAAGGCCUUCGGGUUGUAAAGUACUUUCAGUCGGGAGGAAGGUGGUAAGGUUAAUAACCUUGGCAAUUGACGUUACCGACAGAAGAAGCACCGGCUAACUCCGUGCCAGCAGCCGCGGUAAUACGGAGGGUGCAAGCGUUAAUCGGAAUUACUGGGCGUAAAGCGCACGCAGGCGGUUGAUUGAGUCAGAUGUGAAAUCCCCGGGCUUAACCCGGGAACUGCAUUCGAAACUGGCAGGCUAGAGUCUUGUAGAGGGGGGUAGAAUUCCAGGUGUAGCGGUGAAAUGCGUAGAGAUCUGGAGGAAUACCGGUGGCGAAGGCGGCCCCCUGGACAAAGACUGACGCUCAGGUGCGAAAGCGUGGGGAGCAAACAGG
RNAcentral lists this ribosomal RNA (429 nucleotides) under Chloroflexota bacterium. RNAcentral describes it as "Chloroflexi bacterium partial 16S ribosomal RNA". It matches the Rfam family "Bacterial small subunit ribosomal RNA", at positions 355 to 776 of the family's 1533-position model. Lineage: Bacteria; Bacillati; Chloroflexota. The record is from RNAcentral.